CCCUUAGAUGUUCUGGGCCGCACGCGCGCUACACUGACGAAUGCAACGAGCUUAUAACCUUGGCCGAAAGGUCUGGGUAAUCUCCAAAUUUCGUCGUGAUGGGGAUAGAUUAUUGCAAUUAUUAAUCUUCAACGAGGAAUGCCUAGUAAGCGCAAGUCAUCAGCUUGCGUUGAUUACGUCCCUGCCCUUUGUACACACCGCUCGUCGCUCCUACCGAUUGAAUGGUCCGGUGAAGCGCUCGGACCGCGGCCUCUUGACGGUUCGCUGUCGAUUGGCUGUGGGAAGUUCGUUAAACCUUAUCAUUUAGAGGAAGGAGAAGUCGUAACA
RNAcentral lists this ribosomal RNA (327 nucleotides) under uncultured eukaryote. RNAcentral describes it as "partial 18S ribosomal RNA". It matches the Rfam family "Eukaryotic small subunit ribosomal RNA", at positions 1470 to 1796 of the family's 1831-position model. The record is from RNAcentral.